Felis catus (domestic cat) is the source of this 3056-nucleotide long non-coding RNA. RefSeq lists it as uncharacterized. The record is from RefSeq and is a predicted model, not a curated record. Lineage: Eukaryota; Metazoa; Chordata; Mammalia; Carnivora; Felidae. The transcript has 4 exons.
ACUAAGUUAAAAUUUUAAGGGGGAUUAGACUUGGUACUAAGAUGAAGAUCAGUGUAAAUGCCAAAUUGAUUUGCCCUGAAGGCAGGUUGACAUCUAUCACACCCACUGAGAAGAGACUUAAGACCUGGACGGUGACAGGGGGCCAAGAUUUAUGUUGAGAGUGGGGGAAGGGUAGAGAGGCCAGUGAAAGAAGGAAACACCAGAGAAGAGCCAGGAGAGGGCAAAGAGAUAAUGAUUAAAAGCUGACCUGGAAAUUUAGUUUGCUGUUCCACUAGCAGACUGUAGUUUGUUGUCGGAAAGUUAAGUCCUCAGGCUUCAUUCAGUUCUAGAUUUCAGCAAAAAUAAAUAGUUCCCGGCUUUCAACUGGUGGAAGAGUUAUUUUCUAAGCUCAAAAAGAGAAAAAACUGGAAAAUGACAUCGUUUGGGUACUUUUCUAGUAGAAAUACUAAAAUACGAGAAAUCUGAGUAAUAGCACACAAAAAAGAAUAUCUUUAAGGCACAUAGCAAAGGUAUUAUUUAGUCAAUCUGAAAUUUACAAUCUGGCUGCAUAAUGCCCGAAGUUUUGAAGUGAUAAAAAUACAUUAUUCUUCAGUUAUUUCCAGUAACAAGAGAAAAAGCCGUGCCUGGGUUCUAAUUAGCAAGUGCUGAUUCAGACCUUCAGUGAUUUUCUUUUCUUCCGAUAAAGGAUGAAGAAAUGUUGAAUCUAAAAAACCAAAUAAAUUCUUUUACGGAGUUGGGCGGGGUGGGGGGUGGGGGCGAUUGGUUUUUGUUUUUCAUAUUACUUCUGACCCCAGUCAACAGUAGGGAAAAGAGAAUAGAAGCCAAGAGAAAACAAAGUUACUGGAGCGUUAUAUAAAUAUUUGAUAUUCUGGAUAGAAGGGCUUGAAGUUCUCCCAAGGCCUACGGACUUUGCUUUUUAAAUAAAAGUUUUAAGAGAGAUUUUUUUUUUCACAUUUUAUUGCAACUUUACAAAUUGUUUUAAAGACAUUUCCAACAAAUGGAAAGAGAAGCCACGCUGGAAAAUGUGAAGAAUUCCAGAGAUAUGGAUACUUUCAGUUUCCUUUCAAACUUCUUUUCAAAAAUACUCAUUCACCUGCAGCCCAAAUUCUCCAUGUAUUUUGUCAGGUAUUGUUUAUGAACUACAAGCUGGGCAAUUACUUCUUCUGCUUCACGAGACCUCUUGAACUCGAAACAGCCCUUUAAGGCCCAUCCGGUGCUUGCCUCUGGGCCGGCCGGAGAACUAACAGCACAUCUUCCUCGAAAGCCACCGGGCAAAUGCCCUGGCCUUUCUCCUCCCGAGGGUCACUGCCACCCCAAAACGGUUUUUCCCACGGCAACAGUGAAACGGUGUGGGUGAUCCCAAGAUGGAGGAUAUGUAUCUUUGAAAGUCAAACCUCAACAAUAAAAACAAACAAAAAACGUAGAGGAGAUACGGCAUGGUCUUGUCUCCCCCUUCUUGCCCAUUCUAGACAGCUUUAUCAGCCUGUUUAUUGACAGCACCCAAAUAAAUCAGAUUUUUUUUAAGCCUUAUGUUUAUGAAGUGCUUUUCUCAGUUCCUCACCUCUCUAUCCACCCCCUUCCAAUUCCUAAUUCAUUACACAGAGUCUGAAGAGUACUUGGCUUGUAGGGAGUAGUCAAUAAAUGUUGAUGACGAUAACUCUUGUCGUUAUCCAGAGACAGAAGACUUACGUAUUUAAAUAUCAACCUAUCUUAUCAAUGAUUUCUGGAGAAAAUCUAGACUGGUUUCAAAUUGUUCGCAUGUAGAACAUGUGUUUGUUUUUAAGCCCCAGUGUGGCAUCUCUUUAGCUUAGCUGUAUAAAAAAGCUUUGCUCGCCAGGUGAAUGCCACGGGGAGAAAAUGGCAGGGAACUAUUCUAGAUUAGAAGAACUCAAAGAGAUACAACAACAAAAGGCAACGUAACUUGAUUCAUUCCAGGUCCAGAAAUAAAAAGCUACGUGAGACACGGUGGAAGCAAUCAGGGAAAUUCGCACAUGGGCUGGGUAUGGACGAUAUUACAGAAUUAUUAAUUUUAUGAGGUACUAUAAUGGUAUUGCAGCUGCAGUGGAGGAUGUCUCGAUUCUUAGAAGCUGCAGACUGAAACAUUUAGGGGUAAAGUACUGGGAUAUCUGCAACUUCUUUUCAAAUGGUUCAGCAAAAUUUAUAUAUUUAAAUACAGAGAGAAAGCAAAUGUGGUCCAAUGGUAACAACUAGCAAAUCCAAGUGAAGAGUUUAUAGAUGUUCGUUGUAUUGUACUUCAACUUUUCUGUAAAUGCCAAAUUUUUUAAAUACAAAGUUGAGAAUAGAAAACAACAAAAAAUAUAGUUUUACUGAAGAAAAUGCCACACUCUUCUUUAAAUAUUUUACUGUAAUAACACACUAUGCCUUGGUAUUAUUUAUUUACACUUUAUAAAAAGCAACUUAUUCAACAUAGUUACUCAAUCUGAAAUUAACUACUUUAAAUAUAUCACUUAACUUUCGGUGCUAAUAAUGAAUCUCUACCUUAAAUAUAAAUCAAAAUAGCUCAACACCUAACUUGACAUUACAAGCAACGAGAUGCCAGGUAUAAGGAUCAUGAGUUAAUAUCUCAAUUAUGCUAAAACUUUCAAUAAUUUUUUUCAUUAAUUCUUCUUUGUUUUUCUUCUUUGUCUAGAAUAGUCUGUUUUAAGCUCAAGGUAGCAUCUUGGAAUCCAGGAUUUAAGUCUAAUACCUUCUUGAAAUCUUCCAAAGCAUCAUCAAAGUAUCCUGUACCAGAACGCAAAAAAUGAAAAAUAUCUACACUGGAACACCACGCUGAAGAAAGGAAAUGCGAAGAAAUAAAGCAGUGGAAUCAGUUUUUGUUUAAUCCCGUUAUCUGCGUUGUAGGGAGGUAGCGCUACCAGCACAUACCAGCAGGGCAAAGACGACAUGCUGAGCAAGGAGGAAAAGCCAGCCUAAAGUUCCAGUCUGCAACAGACAUACGGCAGAUUGAAUCAUCAGUGUUACUCUCAAAUUUUUAAGUGAUCCCCCCCAAAAUGAGAUUUCUAAUCAUUUUUCACCAAUAAAGAAAUACACGUUGA